AUCCCUCCGGGGCGUAUGGGCGAUGAUGAAUGGGACUGCACGCGGCUGCGUGAUGUGUGCGACCUCGUUACGACGUGGCACAGACCCAUCUGAGC
Molecule: small nucleolar RNA, 95 nt
Organism: Pogoniulus pusillus (Red-fronted tinkerbird)
Lineage: Eukaryota; Metazoa; Chordata; Aves; Piciformes; Lybiidae
Product: small nucleolar RNA U13
Exons: 1
Source: RefSeq, a predicted model, not a curated record